RNAcentral lists this small RNA (439 nucleotides) under Arabidopsis thaliana (thale cress). RNAcentral describes it as "ATSL187680". Lineage: Eukaryota; Viridiplantae; Streptophyta; Magnoliopsida; Brassicales; Brassicaceae. The record is from RNAcentral.
UAGUUAAGGCAGUGCGUCACUAUACUGCUUAUUACUACAUAGUCUAAUUUGGUAUAUGCUUUGAUUAUGGAUUUAUGAUAAUCAAAAGUUAUAUGGUAUAACCAAUUGUCGUUAGCUCAAUUGGUAAAGACCUUAGGCGAAGCUUAGAGGUCGCCGGUUCGUGUGAUGUUUGGGACGAAACUAAUAUUACAUGCUGUGGUUUCGGGCCUGAGGGGAUUACGGGCUUCGGCCCAAAACUUCUUGGAUUUCAAAAAAUAAAAAUAAAAAAGUUAUAUGGUAUAUUCUUUUGGAUAUUUCAUUCUCUUUUUAAUUUCGUUUCGCCUUAACCGCAUUCUCUAAUUAAAAAUUUAGGUACAUGAUUCACACUUUUACAGUUUAGCAAUGUAUACAGUUUCGAAACAAAUUCAGUUUCCAAUGCCCAUGAAAACGCGUAUAAUAC